Molecule: ribosomal RNA, 497 nt
Filed under: uncultured bacterium
Lineage: Bacteria
Description: partial 16S ribosomal RNA
Rfam family: Bacterial small subunit ribosomal RNA
Source: RNAcentral
GAUGAACGCUGGCGGCGUGCCUAAUACAUGCAAGUCGAGCGAACGGACGAGAAGCUUGCUUCUCUGAUGUUAGCGGCGGACGGGUGAGUAACACGUGGAUAACCUACCUAUCAGACUGGGAUAACUUCGGGAAACCGGAGCUAAUACCGGAUAAUAUUUUGAACCGCAGGGUUCAAAAGUGAAAGACGGUCUUGCUGGCACUUAUCGAUGGAUCCGCGCUGCAUUAGCUAGUUGGUAAGGUAACGGCUUACCAAGGCAACGAUGCAUAGCCGACCUGAGAGGGUGAUCGGCCACACUGGAACUGAGACACGGUCCAGACUACUACGGGAGGCAGCAGUCGGGAAUCUUCCGCAAUGGGCGAAAGCCUGACGGAGCGACGCCGCGUGAGUGAUGAAGGUCUUCGGAUCGUAAAGCUCUGUUAUUAGGGAAGAACAUAUGUGUAAGUAACUGUGCACAUCUUGACGGUACCUAGUCAGAAAGCCACGGCUAACUACGUG